GAUGAACGCUAGCUACAGGCUUAACACAUGCAAGUCGAGGGGUAACGAGAGGAAAGCUUGCUUUCCUCGUUGACGACCGGCGCACGGGUGAGUAACGCGUAUCCAACCUGCCUAUAACUAGGGAAUAACCUUGCGAAAGUAAGACUAAUACCCUAUGAUUUCCUUUGAUGACAUCAGAUUAGGAAUAAAGAUUUAUCGGUUAUAGAUGGGGAUGCGUCUGAUUAGCUUGUUGGCGGGGUAACGGCCCACCAAGGAAACGAUCAGUAGGGGUUCUGAGAGGAAGGUCCCCCACAUUGGAACUGAGACACGGUCCAAACUCCUACGGGAGGCAGCAGUGAGGAAUAUUGGUCAAUGGGCGGAAGCCUGAACCAGCCAAGUAGCGUGCAGGAUGACGGCCCUAUGGGUUGUAAACUGCUUUUAUACAGGAAUAAAGUUAGCCACGUGUGGUUAUUUGUAGGUACUGUAUGAAUAAGGACCGGCUAAUUCCGUGCCAGCCGCCGCGGUAA
RNAcentral lists this ribosomal RNA (506 nucleotides) under uncultured bacterium. Its description in RNAcentral is "partial 16S ribosomal RNA". It matches the Rfam family "Bacterial small subunit ribosomal RNA", at positions 28 to 523 of the family's 1533-position model. The record is from RNAcentral.